Zophobas morio is the source of this 687-nucleotide long non-coding RNA. RefSeq lists it as uncharacterized. The record is from RefSeq and is a predicted model, not a curated record. Lineage: Eukaryota; Metazoa; Arthropoda; Insecta; Coleoptera; Tenebrionidae. The transcript has 2 exons.
AUGAGAAAUGUUAAUGAUCAAAACAAAGAACUAUUUGGCGCCUUUGUGUUUUGACUGACGCCAAUGGCGGCGGUCAUAGAAUGUGGCGGUUAAUUUCUGGUAAACCGUUGUCCAUAAACAGUUUUACGGUGUUUACGAUUUGUCAGAGUUGUUGAUUUUUGUUAUUUGUUCACUCAUAAUUCUUGCUAGGCAAUAAUGACAUUAUGUCAAUUUAAUGUUUGUGUAUUUUCAAUUAUUUUUCUAAUAUGUUAAUAGCGUUUGGUUGUUACAUGUAUUCCGACUACUGUAAAUUAGAUUAGUGUUAUGUUCCAUUUAUCAAAAACUUUCCCGGUUUGUCAAGGCAAAAUGAUCUACCGACUGUUUUAUUUCAUCGAACAAUUCAUCUUCAACCUGAUGCAUUUCUUAGUAAGAAUCUACUCCAAUCAGACCAUCAAAGCUUUAGCACUGGUCUUCUUGAGCGUCUUCACUGAAAUUGUGAUCUAUGUGAUUUUGGGAUUAUGCUGUGUUUUCACUUCCUUGAUCAUUCAAAUCCACGACAUCAUCGAAAAAAGCGAGGAAAAACUUUCCCGCAGCUCCAGUGCUCUGGUUGUAACAGAAAACAAAAACGAACGACCUAUUCGGACUGGUUUUGGUGGCGAUAUCAAAUUUUCACCAAAAGUUAAACAAAAAUAAAAACAUUUCUUUCUA